AACGCACCUUGCGCUCCUUGGUAUUCCGAGGAGCAUGCCUGUUUGAGUGUCAUUAAAUUCUCAACCUCACCAGUUUUGUAAUGAGACUGUGUAAGGCUUGGAUGUGGGGGUUUUUUGCAGGCUGCCUCUGGCGGUCUGCUCCCCUGAAAUGCAUUAGCGAGUUCACUAAGCUCCGUCUAUUGGUGUGAUAAUUAUCUACGCCGUGGAAGGGGUUUAGACUUGCUUCUAACCGUCUGCAAAGACAACUUUUGACAAUUUGACCUCAAAUCAGGUAGGACUACCCGCUGAACUUAA
This 294-nucleotide unclassified non-coding RNA is filed under the name uncultured Coprinellus. RNAcentral's name for it is "sequence contains ITS2". The stretch from base 1 to 52 matches the Rfam family "5.8S ribosomal RNA", at positions 103 to 154 of the family's 154-position model. The record is from RNAcentral. Lineage: Eukaryota; Fungi; Basidiomycota; Agaricomycetes; Agaricales; Psathyrellaceae.